RNAcentral lists this ribosomal RNA (460 nucleotides) under uncultured bacterium. Its description in RNAcentral is "partial 16S ribosomal RNA". It matches the Rfam family "Bacterial small subunit ribosomal RNA", at positions 338 to 795 of the family's 1533-position model. The record is from RNAcentral.
CCUACGGGAGGCAGCAGUGAGGAAUAUUGGUCAAUGGACGAGAGUCUGAACCAGCCAAGUAGCGUGAAGGAUGACUGCCCUAUGGGUUGUAAACUUCUUUUAUAUGGGAAUAAAAUGUUCCACGUGUGGGAUUUUGUAUGUACCAUAUGAAUAAGAAUCGGCUAACUCCGUGCCAGCAGCCGCGGUAAUACGGAGGAUCCGAGCGUUAUCCGGAUUUAUUGGGUUUAAAGGGAGCGUAGGUGGAUUGUUAAGUCAGUUGUGAAAGUUUGCGGCUCAACCGUAAAAUUGCAGUUGAAACUGGUUUUCUUGAGUGAAGUAGAGGUUGGCGGAAUUCCGAGUGUAGCGGUGAAAUGCGUAGAUAUUCGGAGGAACACCGGUGGCGAAGGCGGCCAACUGGGCUUUAACUGACGCUGAGGCUCGAAAGUGUGGGGAGCAAACAGGAUUAGAUACCCGAGUAGUC